GCGGGAUUAGCUCAGUGGUAGAGCAUCGGAUUACCAAGCCGAGGGUCGCGGGUUCGAAUCCCGUUUCCCGCUCCA
RNAcentral lists this transfer RNA (75 nucleotides) under Syntrophomonadaceae bacterium. RNAcentral describes it as "tRNA-Gly". It matches the Rfam family "tRNA". Rfam says of the family: Transfer RNA (tRNA) molecules are approximately 80 nucleotides in length. Their secondary structure includes four short double-helical elements and three loops (D, anti-codon, and T loops). Further hydrogen bonds mediate the characteristic L-shaped molecular structure. tRNAs have two regions of fundamental functional importance: the anti-codon, which is responsible for specific mRNA codon recognition, and the 3' end, to which the tRNAs corresponding amino acid is attached (by aminoacyl-tRNA synthetases). tRNAs cope with the degeneracy of the genetic code in two manners: having more than one tRNA (with a specific anti-codon) for a particular amino acid; and 'wobble' base-pairing, i.e. permitting non-standard base-pairing at the 3rd anti-codon position. Lineage: Bacteria; Bacillati; Bacillota; Clostridia; Eubacteriales; Syntrophomonadaceae. The record is from RNAcentral.